UACCAGCUCCUCGAGUGGUCAGGACGUUUAUUGGGCCUAAAGCAUCCGUAGCCGGCUCCGUAGGUCUCAUGUUAAAUCCAACGGCUCAACCGUUGGCCUGCAUGAGAUACCGCGGGGCUAGGAGGCGGGAGAGGCGGACGGUAUUCCUCGGGUAGGGGUAAAAUCCUUUGAUCCGAGGAGGACCACCAGUGGCGAAGGCGGUCUGCCAGAACGCGCUCGACGGUGAGGGAUGAAAGCUGGGGGAGCGAACCGG
Molecule: ribosomal RNA, 253 nt
Filed under: uncultured archaeon
Lineage: Archaea
Description: partial 16S ribosomal RNA
Rfam family: Archaeal small subunit ribosomal RNA
Source: RNAcentral